RNAcentral lists this ribosomal RNA (809 nucleotides) under uncultured Bacillota bacterium. RNAcentral describes it as "bacterial SSU rRNA". It matches the Rfam family "Bacterial small subunit ribosomal RNA", at positions 73 to 896 of the family's 1533-position model. Lineage: Bacteria; Bacillati; Bacillota. The record is from RNAcentral.
GCUCCCUUCGGGGAGUGCAUAAAGUGGCGCACGGGUGAGUAACACGUAAGUAAUCUACCUUCGAGUGGGGAAUAACGUUCGGAAACGGACGCUAAUACCGCAUAAUGCAGCGGCAUCGCAAGAUGACAGUUGUUAAAGAUUUAUUGCUUGAAGAGGAGCUUGCGGCAGAUUAGCUAGUUGGUAAGGUAAUGGCUUACCAAGGCUACGAUCUGUAUCCGGUCUAAGAGGACGGUCGGACACACUGACACUGAAUAACGGGUCAGACUCCUACGGGAGGCAGCAGUCGGGAAUUUUGGGCAAUGGGGGAAACCCUGACCCAGCAACGCCGCGUGAAGGAUGAAGUAUUUCGGUAUGUAAACUUCGAAAGAAUAGGAAGAAUAAAUGACGGUACUAUUUAUAAGCUCCGGCUAACUACGUGCCAGCAGCCGCGGUAAUACGUAGGGAGCAAGCGUUGUUCGGAUUUACUGGGCGUAAAGGGCGCGUAGGCGGCGCGGUAAGUCACUUGUGAAAUCUCUGAGCUUAACUCAGAACGGCCAAGUGAUACUGCAGUGCUAGAGUGCAGAAGGGGCAAUCGGAAUUCUUGGUGUAGCGGUGAAAUGCGUAGAUAUCAAGAGGAACACCUGAGGUGAAGACGGGUUGCUGGGCUGACACUGACGCUGAGUGCGCGAAAGCCAGGGGAGCAAACGGGAUUAGAUACCCCGGUAGUCCUGGCCCUAAACGAUGAAUACUUGGUGUCUGGAGUUUCAAUACUCCGGGUGCCGUCGCUAACGUUUUAAGUAUUCCGCCUGGGGAGUACGCUCGCAAGAGUG